Molecule: non-coding RNA, 45 nt
Organism: Echinostoma caproni
Lineage: Eukaryota; Metazoa; Platyhelminthes; Trematoda; Plagiorchiida; Echinostomatidae
Source: Rfam
GCACUUCUGGCGAGUCCCAAACAGGACGAAACAGCUGUUCAGUGC